Molecule: ribosomal RNA, 253 nt
Filed under: uncultured bacterium
Lineage: Bacteria
Description: partial 16S ribosomal RNA
Rfam family: Bacterial small subunit ribosomal RNA
Source: RNAcentral
UACAGAGGGUGCAAGCGUUGUUCGGAAUUACUGGGCGUAAAGGGUGCGUAGGCGGUCGGGUAAGUCUGAUGUGAAAUCUCACAGCUUAACUGUGAAACUGCAUUGGAUACUAUCCGGCUCGAGGAAUGGAGGGGAGACUGGAAUACUUGGUGUAGCAGUGAAAUGCGUAGAUAUCAAGUGGAACACCAGUGGCGAAGGCGAGUCUCUGGACAUUUCCUGACGCUGAGGCACGAAAGCUAGGGGAGCAAACAGG